UACGUAGGGGGCUAGCGUUGUCCGGAAUCAUUGGGCGUAAAGCGCGUGUAGGCGGUCCGGUAAGUCCGCUGUGAAAGUCGAGGGCUCAACCCUCGAAUGCCGGUGGACACUGUCGGGCUAGAGUACGGAAGAGGCGAGUGGAAUUCCUGGUGUAGCGGUGAAAUGCGCAGAUAUCAGGAGGAACACCAAUUGCGAAGGCAGCUCGCUGGGACGUUACUGACGCUGAGACGCGAAAGCGUGGGGAGCAAACAGG
Molecule: ribosomal RNA, 253 nt
Filed under: uncultured bacterium
Lineage: Bacteria
Description: partial 16S ribosomal RNA
Rfam family: Bacterial small subunit ribosomal RNA
Source: RNAcentral